GGCAGAAAUGACCGUGUGUUAGGCACCCCGGCCGGUUUUUUAUUGUUCUCCUUUAUUCUCUAGCUUAUUAACCUGUUAGGCGCUCAUAUUAUUUGUUAGCACAUGAUAUUGACAUGAGACGCAAGAAGUGUCUUUAAUAGACUAAGCAAUUCCAUAUUCUUAUGUGUAGAUAUAUAAUGUCGUUUCAUAGAACAUGUGGAUGAUGCUGGUUUUGAGUAUGAUAAAUCUAAAGCUGGCAGUUGUCAGCGUAUUGCAGGACAUAUUUCUUUAUGCACAUGGUGGGCUUCCCUGUGGAGCCUGAAGUAUCUAGUACAUUAACAUGCAUUUUGACAUCAUUGUUGUUGCCAAUAUCAUGCAUGUAUGUAUGUGUUAUCAUUUCAUCUGAUAUGUUUGAAAUUCGUAGCUGCUCAAUUUUAUCUAGAUGAUGCUUGGAUGUUGCGAAGUUUCAGAAGUUACCCAGAUAGACUUGUGCAUCACCUCUUUUCGGGCGUAUGACAACUCUUGGGAGCAAAUGCGUUCAAUGGUUGUGCUGAAUGCAGACUAGUUAUCUUCUUUGAUGAAUGGCUUGCAAAUUUGCUGGAUACUUCUCUGCUUCUGCUCUGCAAUGCAGUUUGCUGAGUUUUAGCUGUUGGGAAUUAGUGAAAGUAGUCAAGAACUAUGAAACUUAUGAAAAAGCUCCAUAAUUGCAAGAGCUGUACAUAUGCCUUUGUGACUAUAUUGAAGCUUUUUCUCCAUUACCUAUAUAAAUGCACUUGGUUGUUACAUA
Phoenix dactylifera (date palm) is the source of this 766-nucleotide non-coding RNA. The record is from RefSeq and is a predicted model, not a curated record. NCBI's taxonomy places the organism in Eukaryota, Viridiplantae, Streptophyta, Magnoliopsida, Arecales, Arecaceae.